UAGUUACAGGCUGUAAAGGGGCUGAAGUCUCUAGCAAAGGCACAGUGGAAUUAGUGCUCCACAUUAGGCUUGGCCCCUGGCGCACACAGUUGCUCAGCUCUGCCUCCUGCUUCUGCCCAGGAACUUUAAAGCGGGAGGGACCCUUCUGGUUUGGUAUUUCUAGCUUUCCCCUGCUCCCCAAAGCCUAUCAUCCAUUGUCCAAGACCAGGAAGCGACUAGAUUGGGAAUUAGGGCUACCACAGGAAGUGCCUUGAUGUUUACUUAUUUGCAUUGUGCGACUAGGUGUUAUCCUGGAAAACGCAGACAGCCAGUGGCUGAGAGAGCACAGUACGAGUUUUCUGAGCACAGCUCUCCACUUGUUCCACGGAGACGAGCAUCCCAGUGUGCAGCAGGCAGCAGCUCAAGUCCUCAGAGACAACUGGGUGGAGCUCAGGAAUCUUCGGAGCAACUAGGAGGUCCUCCAAAAACAUCUUUGAGUGCAGAAAGUGAGCAGCGGGAAGGCAAGACAGGCAAGGCAAGAGCAGGCAGUCCACAGAGUGUUACCACGGAGCCAGUGCAAUCAGCUGACUGAAAUAAAACAUUGCCUAUUGAACAGAAA
Molecule: long non-coding RNA, 598 nt
Organism: Dromaius novaehollandiae (emu)
Lineage: Eukaryota; Metazoa; Chordata; Aves; Casuariiformes; Dromaiidae
Exons: 2
Source: RefSeq, a predicted model, not a curated record